This 496-nucleotide ribosomal RNA is filed under the name uncultured bacterium. RNAcentral's name for it is "partial 16S ribosomal RNA". It matches the Rfam family "Bacterial small subunit ribosomal RNA", at positions 28 to 507 of the family's 1533-position model. The record is from RNAcentral.
GAUGAACGCUGGCGGCGUGCCUAAUACAUGCCAGUCGAGCGAACAGAUGAGGAGCUUGCUCCUCUGACGUUAGCGGCGGACGGGUGAGUAACACGUGGAUAACCUACCUAUAAGACUGGAUAACUUCGGGAAACCGGAGCUAAUACCGGAUAAUAUAUUUAACCGCAUGGUUCAAUAGUGAAAGACGGUUUUGCUGUCACUUAUAGAUGGAUCCGCGCCGCAUUAGCUAGUUGGUAAGGUAACGGCUUACCAAGGCAACGAUGCGUAGCCGACCUGAGAGGGUGAUCGGCCACACUGGAACUGAGACACGGUCCAGACUCCUACGGGAGGCAGCAGUAGGGAAUCUUCCGCAAUGGGCGAAAGCCUGACGGAGCAACGCCGCGUGAGUGAUGAAGGUCUUCGGAUCGUAAAACUCUGUUAUUAGGGAAGAACAAAUGUGUAAGUAACUAUGCACGUCUUGACGGUACCUAAUCAGAAAGCCACGGCUAACUACGUG